Molecule: long non-coding RNA, 517 nt
Organism: Herpailurus yagouaroundi (jaguarundi)
Lineage: Eukaryota; Metazoa; Chordata; Mammalia; Carnivora; Felidae
Exons: 3
Source: RefSeq, a predicted model, not a curated record
GGAUUCUAGACUCUAUUGACUUUAACCAACGAAGUAGAGAUGCCUGAAAGUUUCCAACAGAUUGAAACUGAGAAGCACUAGACCAGAAAUCUAGUAGAUUCUGUGGGUCAAGAAUUCAGUCAAGGCACACUCCAAGGGACUGGACACCGAAAUGUUUCAGACUAUAAGAAGGCUGAGCUGAAGACUAGAAUUAGCUGAGGGCUGGCUCACUCACUUUUCUGGCAAUUGAUGUUCGCUGUUGUCCAAGGUCCACCUGGGGCCUCUCCAGUAGCCUGAACUUUACAAAUGAAGAUGGAUAACUUUCAUGACAUAUGCAUCUCUCAAGCAGACUGAAAAGAAAUUAUGUUUAAUAUUUACAUUUAAUGAAAUCAUAAUACACUGCUAAUCAAAUUGUUACCUUUUAAAUGGCUGGAUGGAAAAUCAGGGCUAAAACACUUGGAAGGAAAAGAAAAUAACUUCUAUAAUAUUUGUGACACAGACCUUAAAUUAGCAAAUUAAAGAACUCAUUGCAAUAAUA